Molecule: ribosomal RNA, 250 nt
Filed under: uncultured prokaryote
Description: partial 16S ribosomal RNA
Rfam family: Bacterial small subunit ribosomal RNA
Source: RNAcentral
UACGAAGGGUGCGAGCGUUGUUCGGAAUUACUGGGCGUAAAGGGUGUGUAGGCGGAUUGGUAAGAUAGCGGUGAAAUGCCGGGGCUCAACCUCGGAAUUGCCGUUAUGACUAUUGAUCUAGAGUAACAGAGAGGAUAUUGGAAUACCCAGUGUAGAGGUGAAAUUCGUAGAUAUUGGGUAGAACACCGGUGGCGAAGGCGAGUAUCUGGCUGUUAACUGACGCUGAGGCACGAAAGCAUGGGGAUCAAAC